This 506-nucleotide ribosomal RNA is filed under the name uncultured bacterium. RNAcentral describes it as "partial 16S ribosomal RNA". It matches the Rfam family "Bacterial small subunit ribosomal RNA", at positions 30 to 523 of the family's 1533-position model. The record is from RNAcentral.
AUUGAACGAUGGCGGCAUGCCUUACACAUGCAAGUCGAACGGCAGCAUGGAAGAGCUUGCUCUUCUGAUGGCGAGUGGCGAACGGGUGAGUAAAGCAUCCGAACGUACCGUGUAGUGGGGGAUAACGUAGCGAAAGUUACGCUAAUACCGCAUACGCACUGAGGUGGAAAGCAGGGGAUCGCAAGUACUUGCGCAAUACGAACGGCAGGUGUCAGAUUAGCUAGUUGGUAGGGUAACGGCCUACCAAGGCGACGAUCUGUAGCGGGUCUGAGAGGAUGAUCCGCCACACUGGGACUGAGUCACGGCCCAGACUCCUACGGGAGGCAGCAGUGGGGAAUUUUUGACAAUGGGGGAGACCCGGAUCCAGCCAUGCCGCGUGAGUAAAGAAGGCCUUCGGGUUGUAAAGCUCUUUCGGCUGGGAAGAAAUCGCACAGGCUAAUACUCUGUGUGGAUGACGGUACCAGCAUAAGAAGCACCGGCUAACUACGUGCCAGCCGCCGCGGUAA